GGGCGGUUGGCGCAGCUGGUUAGCGCGUCUGAUUUACAUUCAGAAGGUUCGCAGGUUCGAAUCCUGCACCGCCCACCA
This 78-nucleotide transfer RNA is filed under the name Candidatus Omnitrophota bacterium. Its description in RNAcentral is "Candidatus Omnitrophica bacterium tRNA-Val". It matches the Rfam family "tRNA". Rfam says of the family: Transfer RNA (tRNA) molecules are approximately 80 nucleotides in length. Their secondary structure includes four short double-helical elements and three loops (D, anti-codon, and T loops). The record is from RNAcentral. Lineage: Bacteria; Pseudomonadati; Candidatus Omnitrophota.